UACGUAGGGGGCAAGCGUUAUCCGGAUUUACUGGGUGUAAAGGGAGCGUAGACGGCGAUGCAAGUCUGAAGUGAAAGGCGGGGGCCCAACCCCCGGACUGCUUUGGAAACUGUAUAGCUGGAGUGCAGGAGAGGUAAGUGGAAUUCCUAGUGUAGCGGUGAAAUGCAUAGAUAUCAUGCAGAACUCCGAUUGCGAAGGCAGCAUACCGGCGCUCAACUGACGCUCAUGCACGAAAGUGUGGGUAUCGAACAGG
Molecule: ribosomal RNA, 253 nt
Filed under: uncultured Eubacteriales bacterium
Lineage: Bacteria; Bacillati; Bacillota; Clostridia; Eubacteriales
Description: uncultured Clostridiales bacterium partial 16S ribosomal RNA
Rfam family: Bacterial small subunit ribosomal RNA
Source: RNAcentral